GAUGAACGCUGGCGGCGUGCCUAAUACAUGCAAGUCGAACGAAACUUCUUUAUCACCGAGUGCUUGCACUCACCGAUAAAGAGUUGAGUGGCGAACGGGUGAGUAACACGUGGGCAACCUGCCCAAAAGAGGGGGAUAACACUUGGAAACAGGUGCUAAUACCGCAUAACCAUAGUUACCGCAUGGUAACUAUGUAAAAGGUGGCUAUACUACCGCUUUUGGAUGGGCCCGCGGCGCAUUAGCUAGUUGGUAGGGUAAAGGCUUACCAAGGCAAUGAUGCGUAGCCGAAUUGAGAGGUUGAUCGGCCACAUUGGGACUGAGACACGGCCCAAACUCCUACGGGAGGCAGUAGUAGGGAAUCUUCCACAAUGGGCGAAAGCCUGAUGGAGCAACGCCGCGUGGGUGAAGAAGGUCUUCGGAUCGUAAAACCCUGUUGUUAGAGAAGAAAGUGCGUGAGAGUAACUGUUCACGUUUCGACGGUAUCUAACCAGAAAGCCACGGCUAACUACGUG
Molecule: ribosomal RNA, 512 nt
Filed under: uncultured bacterium
Lineage: Bacteria
Description: partial 16S ribosomal RNA
Rfam family: Bacterial small subunit ribosomal RNA
Source: RNAcentral